GUGAGCAUGCCUGUCGGGA
This 19-nucleotide non-coding RNA is filed under the name Arabidopsis thaliana (thale cress). Lineage: Eukaryota; Viridiplantae; Streptophyta; Magnoliopsida; Brassicales; Brassicaceae. The record is from RNAcentral.